GAUGAACGCUGGCGGCGUGCCUAAUACAUGCAAGUCGAGCGAACAGACGAGGAGCUUGCUCCUCUGACGUUAGCGGCGGACGGGUGAGUAACACGUGGAUAACCUACCUAUAAGACUGGGAUAACUUCGGGAAACCGGAGCUAAUACCGGAUAAUAUAUUGAACCGCAUGGUUCAAUAGUGAAAGACGGUUUUGCUGUCACUUAUAGAUGGAUCCGCGCCGCAUUAGCUAGUUGGUAAGGUAACAGCUUACCAAGGCAACGAUGCGUAGCCGACCUGAGAGGGUGAUCGGCCACACUGGAACUGAGACACGGUCCAGUCUCCUACGGGAGGCAGCAGUAGGGAAUCUUCCGCAAUGGGCGAAAGCCUGACGGAGCAACGCCGCGUGAGUGAUGAAGGUCUUCGGAUCGUAAAACUCUGUUAUUAGGGAAGAACAAAUGUGUAAGUAACUAUGCACGUCUUGACGGUACCUAAUCAGAAAGCCACGGCUAACUACGUG
This 497-nucleotide ribosomal RNA is filed under the name uncultured bacterium. RNAcentral describes it as "partial 16S ribosomal RNA". It matches the Rfam family "Bacterial small subunit ribosomal RNA", at positions 28 to 507 of the family's 1533-position model. The record is from RNAcentral.